AGAGGGCAUAGUACUGCCCGUAUUGGAAACUCCCCAAUGCGGUUGCCAUGAGCGAAGGUAUCUCUGUUUCUUUUAAGAUGUGUCUGAAUUUGGACUAAAGAAACAGACGUGUUUUGGAAGAAGAAGAAAGAUAACCUGCGAAAUGAAUCAGCCACUGAGUGCUAAGGUUUUGAUCUGGAAAGGACUCUUGUCAUUGUAAUUGGAAUGCUAUAGAGGCAAAAUUGAGCUGUGACGCACCUAGAAAUGAGCUUUUGAAGGAGGGGCAAUGUUGAAGAAAAUUGACUGAUUAUAACGUGAAGGAAAUGAAGAAGGUAAACAAAUAUUUCACACAGCUACAGGAUAUAAUUUCCCUCUGCAAGUUAAUGGAUUUGGAUUUAUUAAACACAAUCAAAAGUCAUCACAUCAGUGGCUGCUAGAACAAAGGAUUAAGAUAGGAAUUGUGGAACUUGGACUAAUUAAGAGAAUUGGCACAGGAUCAAGGAAUAUCAACUCCUGAUAGCCGGAACACGGAAAGUCAUCCAAAUAUGUUUCAUUCGGAACUGUUUAAUUGGCUCUUUUGAUUUUAUUGUGAUUUCGCAUGAUUUGGCAUUGUAUUAAUGUGGCCUCCAUUGGAUUGUUAUUAAUGAAAAAUUAAUAAAAAUUAUUAUUAUUAUUA
Molecule: long non-coding RNA, 655 nt
Organism: Podarcis raffonei (Aeolian wall lizard)
Lineage: Eukaryota; Metazoa; Chordata; Lepidosauria; Squamata; Lacertidae
Exons: 2
Source: RefSeq, a predicted model, not a curated record